UUGACUUCUCUGUCUAGCCCGUACCUGCAAUCCUGGGGGAUUAGGGAAAAGGGGUGAGCUACUAGAGCCCAGUGAGCAGAAUAAUAGAAAACAACAUUUAAAAUCUCAUGCCAUCAUGUAAUGCAACACAUCACAACAAAUCACAUCUCGGAUGGUAUUGUCACCAAUAGUCCUCUACAUUCCAAAGUGCCGGGACGUAGAAUGGGUACAACCGGUCUUUCUCUUAACAUAACAUAUCAUAACAUACCAAUGUGCUAGGGACGUAGAAUGGGUACAACCUGGACUUUCUCUUACGUAGUGCCAGGGACGUAGAAUGGGUACAACCUGGACUUCCAUACCAUACCAUGCCGUAGCAUCAUCGUAUCAUAUGAGGACUAAAGGGUCAUCCAAUAACCAAUCCACAUCAACAUCAUAAAUGCAAUGCAACAUAUUCGUGGAUUCUAAUGCAAACAACCUAUUUCAUCACAUGGCAUCCAUGAUGCAUGAUCAUGCUCAACUGUAUAAUUCAUUUGCUUUAAAAACAUAAGGUUUAUUCUACUCACCUCUGGCUAGCUCUGACAAAGACUUAUGCAGCUAACUCACUGCUGGGGUCCUCGGUUCCUCGGGUCCGAAC
Molecule: long non-coding RNA, 613 nt
Filed under: Manihot esculenta (cassava)
Lineage: Eukaryota; Viridiplantae; Streptophyta; Magnoliopsida; Malpighiales; Euphorbiaceae
Description: long non-coding RNA (MESC_LNC000314)
Source: RNAcentral